RNAcentral lists this ribosomal RNA (483 nucleotides) under uncultured bacterium. RNAcentral's name for it is "partial 16S ribosomal RNA". It matches the Rfam family "Bacterial small subunit ribosomal RNA", at positions 28 to 507 of the family's 1533-position model. The record is from RNAcentral.
GACGAACGCUGGCGGCGUGCUUAACACAUGCAAGUCGAACGCUGAAGCUCAGCUUUUGUUGGGUGGAUGAGUGGCGAACGGGUGAGUAACACGUGAGUAACCUGCCCCCUUCUUUGGGAUAACGCCCGGAAACGGGUGCUAAUACUGGAUAUUCACUGGUCUCCGCAUGGGGGUUGGUGGAAAGGGUUUUUCUGGUGGGGGAUGGGCUCGCGGCCUAUCAGCUUGUUGGUGGGGUGAUGGCCUACCAAGGCUUUGACGGGUAGCCGGCCCGAGAGGGUGACCGGUCACAUUGGGACUGAGAUACGGCCCAGACUCCUACGGGAGGCAGCAGUGGGGAAUAUUGCACAAUGGGCGCAAGCCUGAUGCAGCGACGCCGCGUGAGGGAUGGAGGCCUUCGGGUUGUGAACCUCUUUCGCUCAUGGUCAAGCCGCAACAAUGGUUGUGGUGAGGGUAGUGGGUAAAGAAGCGCCGGCUAACUACGUG